This is a long non-coding RNA of Chenopodium quinoa (quinoa), 4371 nucleotides long. RefSeq lists it as uncharacterized. The transcript is spliced from 2 exons. NCBI's taxonomy places the organism in Eukaryota, Viridiplantae, Streptophyta, Magnoliopsida, Caryophyllales, Amaranthaceae. The record is from RefSeq and is a predicted model, not a curated record.
AAAUAGGCACCCCCCCUUUAGCACCGGUUCUUGAAAACCGGUGCCAAAAAAAAUGGGCGGGAUUAAAAAAUUCGGUUUUGGCAUCGUUUUGAACCAGUGUGAAUUAGAAAAGACAAAAAAUAAAAAAUUAAACUCGGGUUAUGCGUUACUCUGCUUCUUCAUUCUCUUUCCUGUUCUUUUUCCAUUUCCAUUCUCUCUCUUCUCUCUCCUCAUAUGCUCUCCUCUCUCUCCUCAACCAAACCUUCAGCCGCAGUUGCAACCGCAACCAUCAUGCACCGCUCACAGAUUCUCUCUCCCCUUUUCUUUUCGUGCUCUCUCCUCUAGCCUCCUUUUACCCUAUCAAUCGUUUUCUAGGGUUUAUCGCCCUUGUUAUACCUCUAAAUCUCAAUCUCAUAUCCAAUCACCUCUCAGUAAUUUCUAGGGUUUCGAAUUACACUGAUGCUGCAAUAAUUGGAGGCUGGAGUUGGUGGUGAUUAAAUUUAUGUUGUUGAACACAAAGAGGCAAACUAAUAUCAGCAGGCUACACUUCUUCUUUCUCGAGGUUUCUUCAUCUUGCUUGAUCUUUCACUCUAUGUUACUCUCUUAAUUAAAGUACUUAUCGAUUUUUUAAUUUCUGUAAUUUCUAUAAUUUCGAUCAAUUUCUGUCGUUUUCUAAGAUAUUAGGGUUUAUUACUCUUAUCUGGGUUUUCAUUUCAUUUUUUAUCGGCCAAUUUCUAAAGCAUGCAUAUCAUUUUAUUUGUUAUUCAUAUCAUUUUUUAUAAUCUUGAAGUUGAUUGAUAGAAAUGAUUGAUCUGGGUGUUUGUAAUUCUUGUUAAUUUUGUGUUUUUCUAGUGUUACUUUGAUAAUUAUGUGUUUCUUUGUGAAAAUAGUUGGUAAAAUUGCUUAUUCUCUUUAGAUAUAUGAAGAUAUGUCGUGAGCAGUUUUGUGGGUUUUUUUUUAUUGAAUUACUUUUGUGACCGAUUUGAAUUAGAGAUCUAUUCAAUUAGUUAUUUUAUUUAAGUUCAGUGAUUACUGGGGCUCUUUGUUUGUGCUUAUGAAUUAGAGAAUUACUAAAUUAAUUUUGUGGGGUUGUUGAAUUUGAUAAUUUACUGAUUAAUUUAGGUGUAUUAAUUUGAUGCUUUAUCAGGUUAAAGUUAGAAUUUAAUUUGCUGAAAUUAUUACAGUUGAGGCAGUGUUUUUAUGCUUAUUGUGUUACCUUGAAUUUACAGAUUAAAAGUUGUUGUAUUUUAGUUAGAUUUGUAGAUUUGAGGGAUUGAAGUGGGUUAUCAAAGAGGUUGAGCAUUGGAUGAAUGGGUUGGAAGAUACGUAUUGAUGAACUGCCCAGGUGUAAAGAUCUGGGCUGAAGUUUCCUUUGUUUUCGUGUUCGUUUUUCUGCUGCAUUUUGCCUAUGGGUUAACAAGUCCCAGUGAUGGUAAGUUUUAUCCUAGCAAUUUAGUUCAUCUAUCAAUUUCAAUGGUUUUUGGCGUUUUUCUAUUUUGUGAAACCAAGUUGAUUGUAUUAUUUAAAGUGUAUGUUUCUUAAUGCCGCUUAUAGCAUGGGAUAAGUAGGUAGGUGGUCAAUUUUAUUUAGCAUUGAAGGGGAGUUAAAGUAGUAUUCAAUUUCGAAAAUUCGAACUACAAAAACCAGGGUGCUUUUCUUGAUAUAUAUUGUUCAUGGUAAUCAUUAUUGAUUGCCACAGGACUAAUUCCCUAAGGUGUAUAUGUGUAAUUGAAUUUUAUCAACUUUCCUAAAGAAUCUAUAUUCAAUAUGAAGAUUCAAAAUCUAACAGGAGCUAUUUAUGUAAAGCUGCAUUUUAAUGAAUCUUGGUAUUACUAAUUUGAAGUUUUGAAAAAUGUUUCUUCGUUAGAGGAUCAAUUUGUUUGUUGAUUUCUUCAAUCAUGUUCUUCAGUUCUUUAGGGAGAUUAAGUCUUGGUCACACUAUGUACAUCUCUGGUUUGACAUGCACCAAGACAAAAACACAAGGGUCUAGAAGCACGAUGGUUUGAAAAUGGUCCUAGAACUUCCUUUGUCAACCUAAGCUACUUGCCUGCAAUCCUGAACUCAUCUUGUCUCCACAAGCAUUCUUACCUUGCUGAUGUGUCAAGGCAGAAUACUGGUACACAUGUAUGUCUUCCACAAGUUGGCAUCUUUUGUAUCACCUGGCUCAUUAUGUGUUUUAAGUGAUUUUCUGCUAGAUAGCUUUCAUCAGUUUGAUAAUUGAACUUGCAUGUUGGUAGCAUAGCCUAUGACUGGUUAAAUAUGUCUUUGUAUCUGUUAUACUACAUUUUUGUUUAUGAAAACUAAGAUUUGGAGCUGUUAACUCUUAUAGACUCUGCCAAAGCAUCUUUAGCCAAAGCUGAAGCUUGGGGAUUUCAAAAAGUCUUCUCGUGUAUUUUUUUUUGGUGAUUCUUUUGAUUUUUCUGUGAAUUUUAUUUUGCUUUUUUAUGAUUUUUUGUAUCAAUUUUGUAUUUUCUUAGGUUAAAGGAUUUUUGUGUUAAUUUUCUGUGAAAUUGUUGCUGGUUUGGAUGAUCCGAUGAAAUUAAUUAUGCGAUUUUGAUGUUUUUGAAUCAUUUUAUGACAAUGCAUGCAUAUUUAAAAAGAGUGUUAAUGUUGUGGAAAUUGCGCAUUUUUUUUUGUUGUUUGGGUGAAUUGGGCGUUAAUUUUAGCGUGGGCGUUAAUCCUCAUUUCUUGCCUAAUAUGUGACUAAAGAGAAAUUAGAGCAGUUUCUGCUUCAUUUAAUUGAUAUGGCCAUACCGGCAUUACUUCUACCUAUUAUUAGCCUCAUUUCAUACUUAUGCAUUACUGAUUUAGCUAGCUCCUCACCUUUGGGCUCUGGUGCCUCUUGAGAACUUAUUGUCAGCUCAUGGAACUCAGUGGAUUUUAAAUCCUGCACCAUGGUUUUAUAUUUUAUUGUUUGUGAGGAAGGCUCAGAAUAAUUCGUUGGUUCUGUGCUUGUCUCGGUCUUUGCUGUAGAAGUAGUAGCCUCUAACUCCACUGACAAGUCUUCUGGCUCUUUCAUUGUUGAAUCACCAGUGGUCUGGACUAUUUCUACUAGUUCUUGCUUUGACAGUGAGUCAUCGAUAGGUUCAUCUUUCAAAUUUAGGACUUUAAGCUCCUUUUGUUCUUUUUCUGGCAUAGAGAUGAUGAAAGACUUUAUAAUUUUUAAGUUUCAGCUGUUGAGGAAAUAAGUUAGGCUACUGGAUUAUGCCAAUGAAUCUUUUUUAGACUAAUAACCAGUUUAGUUACACCAUGCCUUUGCUUGCUUGGUUACUGUUGAAGGUUCCAUUCUAGCAUUCUUCUUCUUCUCACUUGUGUAUACUACCUGUUUACGUUCCUUUGUCCUAGAUGUUCAUUAGUCUAUUUCUCCAUUUCCUUGCAAGCUGCUAAAUGUUUUUGUAUUAUUGAAGAUAUGUGGGCAAUUGGUGCAGUAAUGGCUGAACUUUUUACCUUGUGUCCUAUUUUCCGUGGAGAUAGGUAAUGUUUGAUUUAGCCUUAGGGUUCUGUCUUGAAAUAAUUAUUUUAAAUAGAGUAAUUUGUAGAAUUUUGGUUGACAUGUUCUUUGGGGGCGUAUGUUUUUGGCGAUUUAUUUGUACUGUUGGAAAAACUUCAAUUUCGUUAUGGUUUAUGUUCUUUUCCUUAUCUUAGUGAUGGUUGCUCCUGCCCCUUGCUUCUUAGUGUUUGAGAGUUUGGAAAGAUGAAAGUACGAACUUGCAUAGACAUAUUUUCCAAAGAGAUCACAAAAUAUAUGUGUAUGACCUAUGUUGAUUAUGAUCACCAUUUAUUUAGAAGCAGUCACUAUGAGUACUAGAUUGCUAAGAGCAGCCAAACCAGCAAGCAACACAGCACUACAGCAGAGCAACAAACACCCAGCACAGCCUGACCAAAGCAAAACUGAAACACAGCAGCUCAAGAACUCAAACCAGUCACCCAGCUAGCCUGAACAUCAGAGACACAGCCACAAAAGCAAACAGAUGCCCAACCAGCCUGAACAGGACAGAGGCACAACAGCGCAGCAGAACAAAACCAGUAGCACAGCAAACAGCAGAGCAGCAGGUCAGCCUGAACACACAACAACACAUCAGCCAGCAGAGCAGCCACCAGCACAAGACAGCCUGAACAGAAGCAAAACCAAUCACCCAGCCAGCUUGAACAGAGCAGAAACACAGCCACAGAAGCAGAACAGCCACAACCAUCAGAGCAGAAACACAGCCACAACCAUCAGAGCAGAAAUACAGCGACAACCAGCAGAGCAGCCACCAGCACAAGACAGGGACAACUAGUUAAAUGAAAUGCAAGAAAGGCACUCAGAGAUAAGUCUGGAUUAUUUAAUUUUUUUUGGACGAAAAUUGUAAUUUUACAGCCUUAUUUAAUGAAAAUAUGUAACUUUAUAUA